Non-coding RNA from Rattus norvegicus (Norway rat), 63 nucleotides. Lineage: Eukaryota; Metazoa; Chordata; Mammalia; Rodentia; Muridae. The record is from Rfam.
GGGGAUUUAGCUCAGUGGUAGAGCUCUUGCCUAGCAACCGCAAGGCCCUGGGUUCAGUCCCCA